AGCUUGGUGCAGUGGCAGUAUCGUAGCCAAUGAGGUUUAUCCGAGGCGUGAUUAUUGCUAAUUGAAUGGAGAGUAGACA
Small nuclear RNA from Panthera pardus (leopard), 79 nucleotides. Its record names the gene U4. It matches the Rfam family "U4 spliceosomal RNA". From Rfam's summary of the family: U4 small nuclear RNA (U4 snRNA) is a component of the major U2-dependent spliceosome. Lineage: Eukaryota; Metazoa; Chordata; Mammalia; Carnivora; Felidae. The record is from Ensembl.